CGUACAUCCAGAGAACUUAGCAGAGAUGCUUUGGUGCCUUCGGGAACUCUGAGACAGGUGCUGCAUGGCUGUCGUCAGCUCGUGUUGUGAAAGUGUUGGGUUAAGUCCCGNAACGAGCGCAACCCUUAUCCUUUGUUGCCAGCGGUUCGGCCGGGAACUCAAAGGAGACUGCCGGUGAUAAACCGGAGGAAGGUGGGGAUGACGUCAAGUCAUCAUGGCCCUUACGGCCAGGGCUACACACGUGCUACAAUGGCGCAUACAAAGAGAAGCGACCUCGCGAGAGCAAGCGGACCUCAUAAAGUGCGUCGUAGUCCGGAUUGGAGUCUGCAACUCGACUCCAUGAAGUCGGAAUCGCUAGUAAUCGUAGAUCAGAAUGCUACGGUGAAUACGUUCCCGGGCCUUGUACACACCGCCCGUCACACCAUGGGAGUGGGUUGCAAAAGAAGUAGGUAGCUUAACCUUCGGGAGGGCGCUUACCACUUUGUGAUUCAUGACUGGGGUGAAGUCGUAACAAGGUAAGCGUAGUGCU
This 529-nucleotide ribosomal RNA is filed under the name uncultured bacterium. RNAcentral describes it as "bacterial SSU rRNA". It matches the Rfam family "Bacterial small subunit ribosomal RNA", at positions 981 to 1509 of the family's 1533-position model. The record is from RNAcentral.